Molecule: transfer RNA, 66 nt
Filed under: Crocodylus siamensis (Siamese crocodile)
Lineage: Eukaryota; Metazoa; Chordata; Crocodylia; Crocodylidae
Description: tRNA-Cys
Source: RNAcentral
GGCCCUGUAGUGAAAUUCAUGACGAACCGCAAACUCGUAGAUGCACUUUAAAUUGUGCCUGGGCUC